GUGAAGCAGGAACAAAGGUUUGGGCAUCACCUGGCAGAUUGGCAUCUGGCCCAGUUCACCAUGGACUUUCUGUGGUGAGGGGAAGCCGUCAGAGCUGGAAGUAAACACCGGCUUCCUGUUGACCCACGCUAGCUCCCUGGCUGGGACAGGUUGAUGGUGAACUGCAAUGACUUACUAUGAAUUGCAAAAACAUACUAACAGGAAGCUACAGGACGAAGGAGUGUGGCGUCUCCAGGUGCUUCCAGAGUUGAGGUCCCUUAAGCAUCUUCCUCUCCCUCCUCAGCUACGGCACAGGUCUUCCCCACACAGGCAGCGUCUCGCCACUGGAUCAGCCAACACAGUACCCCCACGAGAACCUCAAAGCUCUUUUCCAGAACGCAGCUUCAGAUCCCUACAAUGUCUCAAGUACGAGAAAAGGGAGCUAAAGGGACAGCUCAAGGUUUAAAAGCACCAGCUGCUGCUCUUCCAGGACUUGGAUUUGAGUCUCAGCAACUCCAGUUUCAGGGGCUCCGAGUCCCCUCUUCUGGCCUCCUUGGCACCAGGGACACACGUGGAACACAGAUUCGCGUGCAGGCAAAAUGCCCAUACACUCAAAAUAAUUUUCUUUAAAAGAAAGCAACAUGUUGAAGCCUGGGAGCCAGAGUGGGUUUUCUGAAGUGAGACCCUCCUCACAUCACAAUGGAAGGUUGGUGCCUGCCUCUAUCCCUCCUCAGACAGGACAACAGCCUCCUUGUGGCCUUUCUCUGCCUUUGGGUAUUCGUGUCACCUGGCUACAGGAACAGAAUUCAAUCCAGGCCAUUUGAGAACAACCCCAAGGGUGUUGGGAUAGACAAACUUUAUGUCUCAGUCAAGCUGGGCUUUAAAAGUCACUGUUUGUCCCCUCUGUCCAUUCUGUGUGUCCUGGGGCACUGGCUAGCUGGUUCUUUCCAGUGUGUUAUCAUCUGCACCCAAGGAGUUCUAGGAACCCUUGGCGAGCUGAGGAAGCCAGCUGAAGACAUCUGGCUGGGUGUCCCUGCUCUGUCCAAGGAGUCUAUAGAAGGCACAAAGCUGGGAAAACCGAUUGUGCAUACGCUAUGAAGUGUGAUCACCGGGGACCUCUGGCCUGGUGUCCUC
Molecule: long non-coding RNA, 1113 nt
Organism: Mus musculus (house mouse)
Lineage: Eukaryota; Metazoa; Chordata; Mammalia; Rodentia; Muridae
Product: predicted gene, 30306
Exons: 3
Source: RefSeq, a predicted model, not a curated record